Molecule: ribosomal RNA, 310 nt
Filed under: Dichomitus squalens LYAD-421 SS1
Lineage: Eukaryota; Fungi; Basidiomycota; Agaricomycetes; Polyporales; Polyporaceae
Description: partial small subunit ribosomal RNA
Rfam family: Eukaryotic small subunit ribosomal RNA
Source: RNAcentral
AAUCGACCGUCUAGGUGAUGGAGGCAAAAGGCAAUAACAGGCCUGUGAUGCCCUUAGAUGUUCCGGGCUGCACGCGCGCUACACUGACAGAGACAACGAGUGGGGCCCCUUGUCCGAAAUGACUGGGUAGACUUGUGAAACUUUGUCGUGCUGGGGAUGGAGCUUUGUAAUUUCUGCUCUUCAACGAGGAAUUCCUAGUAAGCGCAAGUCAUCAGCUUGCGUUGACUACGUCCCUGCCCUUUGUACACACCGCCCGUCGCUACUACCGAUUGAAUGGAAGGGCGACACGCGAUUGCAGUCAAUACUGACG